RNAcentral lists this signal recognition particle RNA (265 nucleotides) under Candidatus Reconcilbacillus cellulovorans. RNAcentral describes it as "Paenibacillaceae bacterium JTherm signal recognition particle sRNA large type". It matches the Rfam family "Bacterial large signal recognition particle RNA". Rfam says of the family: The signal recognition particle (SRP) is a universally conserved ribonucleoprotein involved in the co-translational targeting of proteins to membranes. Archaeal SRP consists of a 7S RNA and homologues of the eukaryotic SRP19 and SRP54 proteins. The record is from RNAcentral. Lineage: Bacteria; Bacillati; Bacillota; Bacilli; Caryophanales; Paenibacillaceae.
CCGUGCUAGACGGGGAGGUAGCGGUGCCCUGAACCCGCAAUCCGCUAUAGCGGGGUCGAAUGCCCGCCUGAGGUGUCGGCGGUGUGAGGACGGCGGCGGUCUUAAGGCGUUGACGGCCGGGUCCUUCGCAAUGGACGACCGUGAACCCGGUCAGGUUCGGAAGAAAGCAGCCGUAAGCGGACCCGUCCAUGUGCCGGAGGGACGCCCGGUCCGAGCCGGCGGCCCGUCGCGCGCUCGGAUCGCGGCAUCGAAGGCGGGUGCACGG